GCUGGGCGUGGAGGCACACACCUGUAAUCCCAGCAACUCAGGAGGCUGAGGUGGGAGGAUUGCUUGAGCCCAGGAGUUCAAGGCUGCAGUGAGCAAUGAUCAUGCCACUGUACUCCAGCCUGAACAACAAAGCAAGUCUCCGUCUCUU
This is an unclassified non-coding RNA of Callithrix jacchus (white-tufted-ear marmoset), 148 nucleotides long. It matches the Rfam family "Metazoan signal recognition particle RNA". From Rfam's summary of the family: The signal recognition particle (SRP) is a universally conserved ribonucleoprotein. It is involved in the co-translational targeting of proteins to membranes. Lineage: Eukaryota; Metazoa; Chordata; Mammalia; Primates; Cebidae. The record is from Ensembl.